AUGUUAUAUCUAUGUUACUUUAACUAUGACCAGCCUAAUAUCCUGGAGGUUAGGCUGGAGGCUCUGUAUGAGCUUGUUAUUGCCUGCUUGUGGAGUCCCAUGCUGGAUUUUAAUGCUGGAGAGUGUCGCCUUGAUGGCCUGGCACAGGUCUUUAUGCUUCCGUGGGAGGCUGCAACUGCAGUACAUAGCUGCGUCACCACUCCGACCGAUGAUGUAAAAGUUGAUGCCCUAAAAUUGGAUUUUACAUUUGGAGAGAGAAGCUUUUGGGACAUCAACAAAGUUUUUGUUGUAACAGCAAUGCUCCAAAACUAG
Molecule: ribosomal RNA, 312 nt
Filed under: Triticum aestivum (bread wheat)
Lineage: Eukaryota; Viridiplantae; Streptophyta; Magnoliopsida; Poales; Poaceae
Description: partial small subunit ribosomal RNA
Source: RNAcentral